This 468-nucleotide ribosomal RNA is filed under the name uncultured bacterium. RNAcentral's name for it is "partial 16S ribosomal RNA". It matches the Rfam family "Bacterial small subunit ribosomal RNA", at positions 28 to 507 of the family's 1533-position model. The record is from RNAcentral.
GACGAACGCUGGCGGCGUGCUUAACACAUGCAAGUCGAACGGAAAGGCCCUGCUGUUGUGGGGUGCUCGAGUGGCGAACGGGUGAGUAACACGUGAGUAACCUGCCCUUGACUUUGGGAUAACUUCAGGAAACUGGGGCUAAUACCGGAUAGGAGCUCCUGCUGCAGGGAGGGGGUUGGAAAGUUUCGGCGGUUGGGGAUGGACUCGCGGCUUAUCAGCUUGUUGGUGGGGUAGUGGCUUACCAAGGCUUUGACGGGUAGCCGGCCUGAGAGGGUGACCGGCCACAUUGGGACUGAGAUACGGCCCAGACUCCUACGGGAGGCAGCAGUGGGGAAUAUUGCACAAUGGGCGGAAGCCUGAUGCAGCAACGCCGCGUGCGGGAUGACGGCCUUCGGGUUGUAAACCGCUUUCGCCUGUGACGAAGCGUGAGUGACGGUAAUGGGUAAAGAAGCACCGGCUAACUACGUG